CAGUUAAGUUUGAUGUUAAUGGAAAACCCAUUUAAAACAAUGAUUACCCUCUGAAGAAAAAGUGAGUGCACUCAAGUGGAAACGGAAGAUUUAUCGAUCAGUUUUCAGGCACAUCAAAAGCUUUCUAAUCAACCCCUGGAUGUGCCGCUUGGCGAGGAAGGAGACGCUGCAGGCCUCGCCCUUGGCGCCCAGCACGGCCACCGCCAUGAGCGCGGCCUUCCCCUGCCCCUUCACAACGGGGAGAAGGAAAACCAAAACAAGUGUGGUGAGCAAAAAGAACCAAAGAACCACAAGUGAAGAGACAACAAGAGGAAUGGAGCUGGGAGAAAAUCACCAUACUUUUACGUGAGACAUCUCCAUGGACACGUCAUUGUGACAGUGAAGGUGCUCCAAAGAGACACUGUGACUCUGCUUCUCUCAGCCACUGUCAAAAGCUGUGUGCAGAUCUGAAAGUGCGACAGGGAUCAAUGGGAAUCCAAUGUGGACAAAAAGGUACCCUGGUUAAAUUCAAAGUGAGUUUCAUAAACUGAUUUUAGAAACUGUUUUUCUUUUAAAACAUAUCUUUCAAACAAGAUCACAGUUUUGAAUUUGCAGUAAUGACAUCACGAAAGAUAGAACUGCAGCCAAUAUUUCUGAUAGGGAAAAUAUAUAUAUAAAUGGUAAAUUUAUACUACCCUGACAGAAGAAGGCUUCUCAAGUGCAGAGUUUGGAUUAACAGUAACUGACAGAAAAAAUGACUUUUUAACGCACAGAUUUUAAGAUCACCUUAUGGGAAAAGAUGAUACUAAAACCCAUGGCAAUCAUGCAUAGAUUACUUCUGAAACUUGCAUGUAUUCCCAGUAAGUCCUCUCUAGAUUCCAUUUACCCUUUUUCUACUAAGCUUCCUAUCUGUAUAUGCCCCAGUAGAAAGAAAUCUUCUAGACAUUUACUGGCACAACUUUCUAAUUAGGUUUAUUGAUAAUUAAUCUGGAUAAAUCCAUGUGCAAAAACAUCUCAUUAUCAUUCUUUUAAAGCAUGAUAUAGGGUGUUUGUUUAUAGAUAUUUUUCCAUUUCAUGUUUUCUGCUCUGUGCAUGCUAUAGUGAGACUGUGGGUAUAGCUUCGUUAAAUUUUCAAGUCAGUCUGUGCUUUAAAGAAAUUAGUGCUUGAUAUAUAUGGCUGC
Molecule: long non-coding RNA, 1160 nt
Organism: Anas platyrhynchos (mallard)
Lineage: Eukaryota; Metazoa; Chordata; Aves; Anseriformes; Anatidae
Source: RefSeq, a predicted model, not a curated record